AGCAGCCGCGGUAAUUCCAGCUCCAAUAGCGUAUAUUAAAGUUGUUGCAGUUAAAAAGCUCGUAGUUGAAUUUCGGAAUCAAUAUAUCGGUCGUGCCUUGGUACGUACUGGUAUCAUUGGUUUCUCCUUUCUGACGAACCAUGAUGUCAUUAAUUUGGUGUUAUGGGAAGUUAGGACUGUUACUUUGAAAAAAUUAGAGUGUUUAAAGCAGGCUUUAGCUUGAAUACAUUAGCAUGGAAUAAUGAAAUAGGACGUUCGAACCUAUUUUGUUGGUUUCUAGGAUCAACGUAAUGAUUAAUAGGGAUAGUUGGGGGCAUUAGUAUUCAAUUGUCAGAGGUGAAAUUCUUGGAUUUAUUGAAGACUAACUACUGCGAAAGCACUUGCCAAGGGUGUUUUCAUUAAUCAAGAACGAAAGUUAGGGGAUCGAAGACGAUCAGAUACCGUCGUAGUCUUAACCAUAAACUAUGCCGACUAGGGAUCGGAUGAUGUUAAUUUUUUAAUGACUCAUUCGGCGCCUUACG
This 521-nucleotide ribosomal RNA is filed under the name uncultured Glomeraceae. Its description in RNAcentral is "SSU rRNA". It matches the Rfam family "Eukaryotic small subunit ribosomal RNA", at positions 569 to 1092 of the family's 1831-position model. The record is from RNAcentral. Lineage: Eukaryota; Fungi; Glomeromycota; Glomeromycetes; Glomerales; Glomeraceae.